AGUGUAUGUGGUGGAUGCCUUGGCGAUCACAGGCGAUGAAGGACGUGACAGCCUGCGAAAAGCUGUGGGGAGCUGGCAAAUAAGCUUUGAUCCACAGAUGUCCGAAUGAGGGAACUCACCUGCUUUGCAGGUAUCCCAUCCUGAAUAUAUAGGGAUGGGAGGCGAACGAAGCGAACUGAAACAUCUAAGUAGCUUCAGGAAAAGAAAUCAACCGAGAUUCCGAAAGUAGCGGCGAGCGAAAUCGGAUCAGCCCAGCACUCGAUAGCAGCCAACUUACGGGAACGGUCUGGAAAGUCCGGCCAUAGAGGGUGAUAGCCCCUUACUGGAAAAGGCAGCUGUGGUACUAAGUGUGCGAUAAGUAGAGCGGGACACGUGACAUCCUGCUCGAAGAUGGGGGGACCAUCCUCCAAGGCUAAAUACUCGUGAUCGACCGAUAGCGUACCAGUACUGUGAAGGAAAGGUUAAAAGAACCCCGGGAGGGGAGUGAAAUAGAUCCUGAAACCGCAUACAUACAAACAGUAGGAGCCUCGUUAAGGGGUGACUGCGUACCUUUUGCAUAAUGGGUCAGCGACUUACGUUUAAUGGCGAGCUUAACCGUAUAGGGGAGGCGCAGCGAAAGCGAGUUCGAACAGAGCGUUCAGUCGUUAGGCGUAGACCCGAAACCAGAUGAUCUAUCCAUGGCCAGGUUGAAGGUGUGGUAACACACACUGGAGGACCGAACCGACUAGUGUUGCAAAAUUAGCGGAUGAGCUGUGGAUAGGGGUGAAAGGCUAAACAAAUCUGGAGAUAGCUGGUUCUCCCCGAAAACUAUUGAGGUAGUGCCUCGUGUAUGACUCCAGGGGGUAGAGCACUGUUAUGGCUAGGGGGACAUGGCGUCUUACCAAACCAUGGCAAACUCCGAAUACUUGGAAGUUUGAGCACGGGAGACAGAGCACCGGGUGCUAACGUCCGGACUCAAGAGGGAAACAACCCAGACCGCCGGCUAAGGUCCCUAAUAUUGACUAAGUGGAAAACGAAGUGGAAAGGCUAAGACAGUCAGGAAGUUGGCUUAGAAGCAGCCAUCCUUCAAAGAAAGCGUAAUAGCUCACUGAUCGAGUCUUUCUGCGCGGAAGAUGUAACGGGGCUAAGUCAAUAACCGAAGCCGCGGAUUCACACUUGUGUGUGAGUGGUAGGGGAGCGUUCUGUAAGCCUGCGAAGGUGACUCGUAAGGGUUGCUGGAGGUAUCAGAAGUGCGAAUGCUGACAUGAGUAACGUUAAAGCGGGUGAAAAGCCCGCUCGCCGUAAGCCCAAGGUUUCCUGCUCUACGUUCAUCGGAGCAGGGUGAGUCGGCCCCUAAGGUGAGGCUGAGAAGCGUAACUGAUGGGAACAAGGUUAAUAUUCCUUGACCACCGCUGAAUGCGAAGGGGGGACGGAGUAUUGAAGAUCAUCCGGGUGUUGGAUAUCCCGGUUUGCGAGCGUAGGAGGCUGACAGGCAAAUCCGUCAGCGAAUCUCCGAGGCAAAGCAUCGAGCUCUCUUUUGAGCGAAGUGAUUGGAUGUGCUUCCAGGAAAAGCCUCUAAGCUCCAGUUCAGCGGGACCGUACCGCAAACCGACACUGGUGGGCGAGCUGAAUAUGCUCAGGCGCUUGAGAGAACUCAGGAGAAGGAACUCGGCAAAUUGACACCGUAACUUCGGGAUAAGGUGUGCCUUUGUAGCGUGGAGGGAGAAACACCCCGAGCGCGAAGAGGUCUCAGAUAAUCGGUGGCUGCGACUGUUUAUUAAAAACACAGCACUCUGCAAAGACGAAAGUCGACGUAUAGGGUGUGAUGCCUGCCCGGUGCUGGAAGAUUAAUUGAUGGGGUGCAAGCUCCUGAUCGAAGUCCCAGUAAACGGCGGCCGUAACUAUAACGGUCCUAAGGUAGCGAAAUUCCUUGUCGGGCAAGUUCCGACCUGCACGAAUGGCAUAACGAUGGCCACACUGUCUCCUCCUGAGACUCAGUGAAGUUGAAGUGUUUGUGAUGAUGCAAUCUCCCCGCGGCUAGACGGAAAGACCCCAUGAACCUUUACUGUAGCUUUGCAUUGGACUUUGAACCGAUCUGUGUAGGAUAGGCGGGAGCCUGUGAAACCACAACGCCAGUUGUGGCGGAGGCGUCCUUGAAAUACCGCCCUGAUUG
Molecule: ribosomal RNA, 2152 nt
Filed under: human gut metagenome
Description: bacterial LSU rRNA
Rfam family: Bacterial large subunit ribosomal RNA
Source: RNAcentral